UCCGUCUAGGAAAACUUGGCUUGUGCAGCCUAGUGCACAGACUGCUCACCAUGCUGUGCCGACACCAGACUAUUCCCACCACCACCACCAACCCUCUUCACUCCCCUUUCUCUCCUCGUGCGCACACACUUGAAUAAACACGCAAGCAUCCUGUGCUAUGCCACCGCCUGCUCUGCACACAAACCUGACUGGGAGGGUGGCAGUUGGGGUGAGGAGUUAACUAUCCGCUGGGAAGCCUCCACGGCAAAUCACGGGAAUAGCUGGAGUGGUAUUCAAAAAAGAGACACAGGACAGGGAUCCUGGUGGAAGAGCGGGUCAAGAGCUGGCAGCAAUAUUAUGGCGAAAAAACAGAAGAUGAUCGAAGGACUCAUGGUGGGCAGUGCCAGGUGGCAGCAGGGGCAUGUUUCGGCCACCUGUCCUGGGGAAUAUGUACACGUCUUGCUCCUCCUGCUCUCCCAGUGUGGGAUGACACCAACUCCCUGUCUGCAUGGUUGGCUCAUUGUCUGUCCAUCUCAUCGCUUGUUGGCUUGCAAGGCUACCGCUCAGUCACUCUCUUCAGUCAUCAGCCUGUCUGUUAGCUUUCAAGCUUGCUAAUUCCACCUGUAUUUCUCCUCAAUAUUCGACUCAUUCGUUACAUUGCCAUUAUCCUCAGACCUGAUUCUCGUGUUAUUCUUCCUAGAAAUUCUCUAGAACCCCGUGGACACAAUCCUGGUGGCUUUGGGUAUGCAAAAAGCAACCAGUCAUUUCAAUUAUGGUAAAGACACGUUUCCACACACAUUCCCAGAAAGACAAAUGUUGCAUGGAAAGCGCAUUAGAAAACAUCACCUCCCAUACAAAAUUGAGAAAAAUUAUAUUUGGAGUUUCAAGCAGGAAAGUCGAACUUUAAACAAGUCUUCAUCAUAUGAACUGUCUCAACUCGGACAAGUGGUACAAUUUUAUGUGAUCAGAUUGUAAAACCUUUUCUAAGAUGUUACUGAAGUCUGCAUUUCCGGACGCCUAGCUUUUCAACAGGAAGAACCGAGGACAGAAGGUCUGGUAACAUAGCCUCCAACCGCAGCUCUAAUUUGGUCCAGCAAGUACAGCAUGGUGUUCGAAAAUGUACAAAGACACAGAGGAGAGGGUUCGGAUGCAGAAAUGGGCACAAACAACCAGUCAAGUGCAUUCAUACACACACUGGUGCACACGCGCAUGGAGGACAGCAGAAACUCCUCCUGCCAGCCCUGCACCAUCUGUCUCUCUGUCUGUGCUUCACAGCCAUGCCCAAACAGGGCCCCAGCAGAGCCAGUGUGAAAUUAGCUGCCUUUGUGGGGCUUUGUCUGCUAGUGCAUGUGUGUUUGGGUCUAUCAGAACGCUUGGUUUAAAUGUGUAUUUUAAAAGCAUAUUUGCAGGCAGGCUGUCAAGAGGUAACCCACGUUGGUAUGCUGGUGCGUGCAUACUUGUGUAGGUAAAACGAGUAAAUCUGUGAUCGAGUCGAGCUAUUUCCCCUGACCUAUGACCUCUGCACAACCACAGCCUUUAUACACUCCUUCUACACUAAUAUGCAAGCAUGGUGUGUAUGUGUUUACUUGCUUUUGUCUGAAUGGUUAGCCCCUGCAAGCCUAUUUGGUCCUGGUUGGCCAUAUCUUGCUCCCAGGGUGCUCUUUGAUAUCCACUCAGCACUCUGACCUUUCGUGAACUUUGGCUAGACCUCCUGACCCUAGGCUUUUGGGAGCUCUGUCCUCCUCCUCUCUUCCUGCUAAUACGUAAUAAAUCUUGUCUGCCUUGACACCACCCCACACACACACACCCAUACGCAGUUAUAAAUGAUCCAGCCAACACAUCAUCACCUUGCACCCCUAACAUUAAUGAGUGUAGAGGUUAAAGGUGGUUGACAUUCCUCUCACGCUCCUGUCUGAACACCAUGCACCAUCCUGACCCCCCUCCCAUCCCCCUGCUUGCAUCACAUACGCCGUAACAAAAGACUUGUGUUCUCCCAUGUGCCUUCUGUAAAGUGAAAGCUCCAGACGCACAAGUAAUGGCAUCAGGUAAACACACAAAAAAAGACAAUUUUGAUGUUGCAAAAAAAUAAGAGACCACUGUAAAACAUACUCAAAGUUUCAGGAAAAAAAGUCUGAUUUAGUGUGUGGUCCAAGGCAUUCAUGGGACAGUCUGGGCUACUGCUAUCCAGAAUGAUGAAGAAUGCUGCGCCUUGUGACAGAUAAUCAUUCUGUUCUUCUCUACUGCAGAGUCUUGGCUAAGAGACAAACCGUCUGGCAAAAAGACAGUGUUACGAUGCAGAGCUCAAUCAAACUGUCUUUCUACCCAAAGUCAUUACUCCUUCAUAGAUGAGCAGUAAUGUCAGCAGUCAUGACAAAAGCAGGGAUCCCUCUGCUCCACUGUGAGAAGAGCCCUCUGCUGGACAGAAGAAGCAUGGCACCCUUGGAGCCCUACCGCUGUGUUCGCAGCAUUAGAAACUGAAAACGCAGCAAAGCUUUGCUCUACAACAUCCUGUCUCCCUCUCACACCACAAAAGAGGAACAACACCAAGGCUAUGUUUGUGGUUUCACCUCAGUCUGGUAUUAAGUUACAAAUGGUGAACGAGACUGGUCCAAAAAUGGUAAUAGGCCAGGGGAAAUCUGCUGUUAAUUUUUUUAACUUAGUAUUUUCAUUUGUUCCUCUGUUGAUUGAUGUCUCCUCCCCACCUCUGUGACCUGCAGCGAUUGUCCCCCUUUAAGGCUUCACAGCCCUCUGACAUCAGUGUGUGUGUGUACUUGUGAGUUUGUGAAUGUGUGAAAUGGAAGGCCAGUCACAGUCGUCUGAUCCGGGGCCAAGCUAAAGGGAUUAGGUUGGCCUGGACUGAGAGGGGAAGGGGCCCACCAUCUCUGUUACUUGAGGAUCAAAAUGACACUGUUGGUGCCCUAAGAACUGCAACUGACUCCCUAUCAGAUCCACAGGUGGGAGUAUGGGAGGAACAACCAUGUAGAUAGAUUCCACUUUGAGUUGAUCAGAAAUACAAUAAAAAAGUUUUUUUUGUUUGAAGUCCCACUCUUUUAAAGCA
Molecule: non-coding RNA, 3037 nt
Organism: Oryzias latipes (Japanese medaka)
Lineage: Eukaryota; Metazoa; Chordata; Actinopteri; Beloniformes; Adrianichthyidae
Source: RefSeq, a predicted model, not a curated record